UCCCUGGUGGCUCAGAGGUUAAAGCGUCUGCCUGCAAUGCAGGAGACCCAGGUUCAAUUCCUGAGUUGAGAA
RNAcentral lists this transfer RNA (72 nucleotides) under Capra hircus (goat). It matches the Rfam family "tRNA". Rfam says of the family: Transfer RNA (tRNA) molecules are approximately 80 nucleotides in length. Their secondary structure includes four short double-helical elements and three loops (D, anti-codon, and T loops). Lineage: Eukaryota; Metazoa; Chordata; Mammalia; Artiodactyla; Bovidae. The record is from Rfam by way of RNAcentral. RNAcentral also lists the same sequence under 1 other name.